GACAGAGGUGCCGAGCGUUAGGCGGAAUCACUGGGCUUAAAGCGUGUGUAGGCGGGUCGUUAAGUGUCUUGUGAAAUCCCACCGCUCAACGGUGGAACCGCUGGGCAUACUGGCGAUCUUGAGCAGUCCAGGGGCGAGCGGAACAAGCGGUGGAGCGGUGAAAUGCGUAGAUAUCAGGAGGAACACCGAUGGCGAAGGCAGGUCUCUGGGCCGACAUUGACGCUGAGGAGCGAAAGCGUGGGGAGCGAACAGG
RNAcentral lists this ribosomal RNA (253 nucleotides) under uncultured bacterium. RNAcentral describes it as "partial 16S ribosomal RNA". It matches the Rfam family "Bacterial small subunit ribosomal RNA", at positions 524 to 776 of the family's 1533-position model. The record is from RNAcentral.